AUGUCCUCGGAUCUCGAGUGCUCCACUGAGGAGAAACGAGCCUUCGCUUCUCUGCACCCGCCUCCAAAUCAAAUCAAUGGCGUCUCCUCCGCCACAAGAUCCAAUGGCAUCUCCUCCGCUUCCUACUGCAGCCCCUCACCCUUCUCUUCUGAUUGAGAUCGGACCCGACGGCAUCACCAGAGAGUCCCCCGUUAUUGCCUACACCGAGAGGAUCAUUGAGGCGGAGAAACUCCAGUUGAAGAGGUAUAUCCAAGAAAACUAUUCAAAGAUACGAGAAGUAGAACGUGAAUUUGAGAAUCUUACUUUGGAGUUGAAACUUACAGCUGGGUCAAAGAAAGCAGCACUUGAGCAUUUGCGCAAGAAGAUUGAAUUAUCUGCUGAGAAGAUACAUGCAGCUAAACUUAAGGAAGAACAAGCAAAAAAGGCUUGGGAAGCUGCAGCUCAAGCUGUUAAAAACGAGGAGGCAAUCAAGCUGAAGAUUUGUGAUGAUCUGAACCAGUUGGUCCAAGAAAGCACCAGCACUCAGUUUUUAAGAUUGGAGGAGCUAAAAAGACGAUUGGAAGCUCUCAACCCCAGCAGAAUAUCUUCUGAUGCUCCAGAUGGAAAAAUCAUACAGCAGACACCUAGUAAUGCUGCAGGACUCCCAACUGCAGCGAAUCAAUCAGCACCCGCUAGAGUUGCUGAUGCAAAUGCUGCAGCUAGUAGCAGCAGGCCAGCAUCAUCCGACGAAAAGAAUCAACGAGUUACUGAAAUGAAAGAUAAGAAGAGAGUCAUUAACUCUGGAAGAGCAAAGGGCAACAUGCUCUUGUCAAAGGGAAGAGGAUCCGGGUCUGGCUGGACCGGAUCUGGGUUCAACGUAGAUAGUGGCAUGUGAGAAACAGUUGAUUUUGGAGCCACCGUCCAGAAGAUACAGAAUCUAAUUAAACAAAAUGACAGGGAGCUGAUGCCGGGCAUGAGACAGCGUUGCCGGAGCAAGACGAAAUGCAGAUGGAAGAGAGCGAGUACGGAAGAAGGCACGCCUCGCAGUGCAUGCCGCGGCUAUGGCGGAAGCCUCUGCCGAUGCCAGCGCCGGCGUCCAUCCUGGAGCGCUUCCGGGAGGCGGUGUUCAAGCUCAUGAUUUCGUCAGUCGUCUCCAAGGGCCGGCGACGAGAAAUGCUGGAGGAGGCGGCCGCACGGCAGCGGCUCCAGCUGGCACCUGACUCGUACCGCAGCGAGGCCGUGGAAGACUGCAUCAAGUUCUUCAAGCGGUCGGCGGCGGCCAACGCCGACAGGAGCCACUGCGUCCCAGAGGAGGCCUUGGAGGUCAUGUGAAGAGUUGUCUUCCUUCUUUUGGAGGAGCCCCGGCGUCGUUAAUUUCCGGUUGCACAUACAACUAUAUAUAAUUUUAACCGGAGAUUUCAUCGGAAAAGAACGGACGCCUAUGGCAAAACCAGUGGAAAAUA
RNA transcript from Zingiber officinale, 1442 nucleotides. RefSeq lists it as uncharacterized. The record is from RefSeq and is a predicted model, not a curated record. NCBI's taxonomy places the organism in Eukaryota, Viridiplantae, Streptophyta, Magnoliopsida, Zingiberales, Zingiberaceae. The transcript is spliced from 8 exons.